RNAcentral lists this ribosomal RNA (464 nucleotides) under Bryonosema plumatellae. RNAcentral describes it as "LSU rRNA". The stretch from base 80 to 464 matches the Rfam family "Eukaryotic large subunit ribosomal RNA", at positions 1 to 668 of the family's 3401-position model. Lineage: Eukaryota; Fungi; Microsporidia; Pseudonosematidae. The record is from RNAcentral.
CAAGGGACCGCUUGGAUUCUGUGAAGAUGAAGAACGUAGAAGUAUACGAUAAUUCACUUGGAUAUUCAAAAGUGAAAAGUGAUAUUUGAUAACACCCCUUGGACUUAAGCAUAUCAUUAGAGGGAGGAAAAGAAACUAACAAGGAUUUUCUUAGUAGUGGCGAAUGAACAGAAAUAAGCCCUUAUGGUAAACUUAAUUGUGUUGUAAAUAAUAGCAAAUUGAUACUCUUGAAAUAGAGACCAAUAUAGGGUGAAAGGCCCAUAAUGCUAAUAUAUAGGGUAGAGUAGUUUUGUUUGGUAGUGCAGAAUGAAUUGGUGGUAGCGAUCAUCAAAGGCUAAAUACAACAGAAUACCGAUAGCGAAUAAGUAGCGUGAGCGAAAGCGAUAUAUCUGAAAAGAUAUGUAGAUAAGCGAAAUUGCAUAUGAGGAAGCCAUUUUAAUGGACCCGUCUUGAAACACGGACCA